This 308-nucleotide ribosomal RNA is filed under the name uncultured bacterium. RNAcentral describes it as "partial 16S ribosomal RNA". It matches the Rfam family "Bacterial small subunit ribosomal RNA", at positions 505 to 807 of the family's 1533-position model. The record is from RNAcentral.
GAGACAGCAGUAGCCGCGGUAAUACGUAGGGUGCGAGCGUUAAUCGGAAUUACUGGGCGUAAAGCGUGCGCAGGCGGUUUUGUAAGACAGGCGUGAAAUCCCCGGGCUCAACCUGGGAAUGGCGCUUAUGACUGCAAAGCUAGAGUGCGGCAGAGGGGGAUGGAAUUCCGCGUGUAGCAGUGAAAUGCGUAGAUAUGCGGAGGAACACCGAUGGCGAAGGCAAUCCCCUGGGCCUGCACUGACGCUCAUGCACGAAAGCGUGGGGAGCAAACAGGAUUAGAUACCCCAGUAGUCCCUGUCUCUUAUAC